This 72-nucleotide transfer RNA is filed under the name Echinaster brasiliensis. RNAcentral's name for it is "tRNA-Tyr". It matches the Rfam family "tRNA". From Rfam's summary of the family: Transfer RNA (tRNA) molecules are approximately 80 nucleotides in length. Their secondary structure includes four short double-helical elements and three loops (D, anti-codon, and T loops). Lineage: Eukaryota; Metazoa; Echinodermata; Asteroidea; Spinulosida; Echinasteridae. The record is from RNAcentral.
GAUGGUGUGGCAGAUCUAGAAAUGCGGUAAAUUGUAAAUUUGUUAAUGAAGGUUUGAUUCCUUUCUCCAUUA